Long non-coding RNA from Rana temporaria (common frog), 957 nucleotides. RefSeq lists it as uncharacterized. The transcript is spliced from 2 exons. The record is from RefSeq and is a predicted model, not a curated record. Lineage: Eukaryota; Metazoa; Chordata; Amphibia; Anura; Ranidae.
GGGAGGGGGACAGAGUAGCUGGAAAAAGAAAUGGAUCAGCAGUAACUAUACAUAUCUGUAAAGCUGAGGAUGAUGCGGGGAAAAAGAAAGACAAUCAGCCACCUCUGAGUCUGCGAACGGGUUAACGAGUUCUUAUCCUAAAUCUUAUCAGCUGUGUGACUGUGGGUAAACAGUGGCUCUGUGACCUCAGACGCUCAUGGGAAGAUGAUUGCAAUCAGAUUUUAGCAGGAGAGAUUUUCGGAACUCCCAGCCUUGUUAAUUUUCCCAUAAAUUCCUGUGUGGAUCUGUCAGCGAUCCUGUCAGCCAGAGUGUGAAGAGGGGACCUCUGGAGUUCUCACAUCACGUCAACACCUGAGCUUUGAUCCUUUUAACUCUCCUGAUGAAGCUCUUUUAUCUGGAAUGUGUGAAAAUUCUCAAUGCAUUCCACCACAUCCAUUAUCCUAUCAUGGCAUAGCUGAAAUUAUACUUUAAUAUUCAGUGAAUCAAACUGCUUAAGGUCACUAUUUUAAAAAGAUUGAACUACUGUACAAGCUACUAUUCCUUUUUACGGGGGUCCACUUUCUUUUGCUCUGUCCACUCAGUACUGAUACACAAAAGGUUAAGCACAUUAAGGUAAAAUCCGCAACUGCAAAAUUUGUGGAAGAAAGAAAGUCUGGGAAGAAGAGGGUAGACCCCCGAAAAACUUCUGAAAAUGCACCCGUUAAAAGAAGAAGCUUUCAGAGGACUACCUUCCUCUUCAUCUUUUCUCCACAGAUUUUUUCUCAAUAUACUGAACCUUUGUGUACCAGUACUGUCUGGACCGAGAAAAAAAGUAAUACCCCAAAUAGUUGGACCUGAAAAUUUAAACGUUAAAGCAAGUAAAAAAAAGUAUUAUGGACAGUACUCAAUUGUGGUGGUGUUCUUAUAUGUUUAAAAUUAUAUUUUUAUUGUGAGGUCUAUAAAACCGAUAUGCAUUUC